AUGUUCAACCUUUCCUUAAACACCCCCAGGGAUGGUGACGCCACCAUCUCCGUGGGCAACCCAUUCCAAUGCCUGAGUGCUCUUUCUGAGAAGAAAUGGCUCCUAAUUUCCAACCUAAACCUUCCCUGGUACAACUUGAGGUUAUUCCCUUUAGUCCUAUCACUAGUUGCCUGUGAGAAGAGGCUAACCCCCAGCUUCCCACAACUUCCUUUCAGAGAACAUCUUAUUGGAAAACCUGAAGCUGAUCCUGCUGCAUCUUUGAAGAGAUUACAAACAGCAUUAUAUCCAGCUGCAACUUGCAUCCCUCACCUUCCAACCCAGAAAGGACUGACCUAGGACCAAAAGAGGGUUAAUGAUUCUCCAUUCCAAGGGGAAGUAAGUUCUCUCAAUUCUCUCAGAGAAAUAAGCAUAUAAUGUCCAAGAUAGUUAUCUUAUGAUGAGACAUAUGACUUACUGAGAAAUAUCCCUCUCUCUUCUUUAAUAUGAGAUGUAGAUUAUAUGAAAAAUUUAGAACAAACACCUAAUUUUUAAGAUAAUGAAGUCCCAAUUAAAAUGCCUAGGUUUGUUUUGAAAAUUGGGAUAGAUUUCUAAAGUAUAUAGAUGAUACCGGC
RNAcentral lists this long non-coding RNA (611 nucleotides) under Cairina moschata (Muscovy duck). RNAcentral's name for it is "domestica (muscovy Duck (domestic type)) lncRNA (ENSCMMG00000000543.1)". Lineage: Eukaryota; Metazoa; Chordata; Aves; Anseriformes; Anatidae. The record is from RNAcentral.